Molecule: long non-coding RNA, 269 nt
Organism: Silurus meridionalis
Lineage: Eukaryota; Metazoa; Chordata; Actinopteri; Siluriformes; Siluridae
Exons: 3
Source: RefSeq, a predicted model, not a curated record
GAAAUCCGAGGCCUGAAAUGCAAAAUCAGCAGCAUGGAGAAAAGCUUUCGCUUAAUGGAGGAAAAACUUUACAAAGUGGAGAACGAGUUGAACAAAGACCCAAAGCCCACAGCAAAGAGAACUGGAUCAGACAUGUCACCACCCAGGAAAGCUCAAAAGCCUCGACUUGAUGCUGCUUCAGCUGAUCCUGUAAACACAACACACACAACACAAUCUCUCAUCUCCAGUGCAUUAGAAACACUACAAAAGUCCUGUUCUGAUGUUUUACC